AAGAGAGAAAGAAAGCGUAAGGCAUAAAAAUUUGUCUGCGAAGAAAAUAGAGACCGUAAGCGAUAUUAUAGUAAGAUAGGCAAAUCAGGUUGCUGAUGCGUUGGCAAAAUGGAGCAUGAGAGGAAAUUUUAUGAUGUUAAGGAUCUUCCUAAGCAGGCUGCUGGUCCAUAUUUUCUAGAUAUACAAGAUACUGCCUCCACACAAACAAAGAAGGAAUAUGCAUGCUUGUCUAAUAAUCUUUUUGGGAGUUUUUGAACCGUUAAUUUUCUUUUUUCUUUCUCCCUGUAUAUGCUAGGUUUGAAAAGCGGCAGGGGUUAGUGCUAACCUCUGUUUUGUAAUGAAAUAAAAGGCAGCGUUCGCAAAUUACAAAAAACAAAAAAACGUUUGUCUUCGA
This is a long non-coding RNA of Nicotiana attenuata, 394 nucleotides long. RefSeq lists it as uncharacterized. The record is from RefSeq and is a predicted model, not a curated record. Lineage: Eukaryota; Viridiplantae; Streptophyta; Magnoliopsida; Solanales; Solanaceae. The transcript is spliced from 2 exons.